AUUACUGUUGUUGUUGUUAUUAUAUUAAUUUUAAAAUUAUCCCUUUACAACUUGCAAAGCGCCUGUAAAUUUACCUUAAACCUGUUUUCUUUUCUAGCCAAUGGUGUCAGGGGCCGGUUAGCCUGUCCCUCCGGAGCAUUAACCCUUGUCGCUAGCUGCAGUGAGUGAGGAGCUGAGGUUUGGCCCUGAGGAGCUGUGUGUGUAGAUCUGGCACAGCUUUGCUCCCUUAACUCCUGGAUCUUUGUUUUGGUGGCGACCAGGGAGAGCAGGGAGCGCUGUGCUCGCAUUUCCCUCUGGCUUUUACACACGCACACACACACACACACACACAAAUCCCCCUUUCCAACUUUCUGCUUUUUGCGCUUCCCUUCCAGUUUUUUCACUUUUCAGACCUACUGGCAGCAUUUGCCGAGAUCUAGAUCCCCGUCGUGUUACAAUUUUGGCUUCCUGUUUAGAGUGAUGAUGUCCAGGCUGUUGUUUCAGAAGAUCCAGCAGCCAUGUGCCAGUGCCAGAGCAGGACACAUCUCCUAGUGCUUUGCCAGGAUUUUCCAAAUCUAAGUAAGACCAAUAAAACACCUAACAGCUUCUAAGGAAAAGAUAUUACUACUGGAAAAACCCACGAUACAAAUAUGGACACAAGUAAUUUACAAGUCAUUUCUUAGCAGUUCUACUACAGAAUAUUUGCAGGGGAGUGUUUUCAUUUCAUGAUAUUUUUCCAAAAAAACCCGAGAAUCUUAUUUUUUUCGAAUGAAAAAAGCCCUUCUUUUCUCCUCUAUGAAACAAGACACUCCCCAUCUUUCUAUUGCUCCUAUGCUGUAUAUCCGCUGAGAACGGGCUGUCAUUCUACAAACUCUCAUGUAUUUUACAGAGUCAACAUUGCUAUUCAUCUCAUGCAACUGCAGCCAAUCUUGGCUGCCAGGUGAAACACAAUGUUGAAACAGAGAAGCAGUCUCAAAGAAAUACAAGCUCUUAAACCUUGAAUGGCUUCGUGGAUCAAAAAUGCCAUUUUGAAUUACACCUGGAAAUGAAGUAGAGAGCGGCAAAGUCCCCGGAGCGCGGGUGCAACCACGGGAAGGAGGAGCGGUGCCGGAGCACAGUCCCACCCUCGCCUGCUGGGUAUUCUGCAGGUCGGCUCUGAGCGCAUCGGUUAUGAUUGGGAGCAGCUGCAAGCAGAGCCCAGUGCAGCGCUCCCAAUACGUUCCAGAUGAUGAAUAUGAUGCAGACUUACUGGAACAAAAAUAUAUUUCUGGAGAGAAAAAACAAUUACUUCUCAAAGCAAGACAAUGAAGCUGAACCGAUGCUACGUGGGCAUAAAAUAGAACAGAACUUUUGGGCAACGGCUUUAACUUCUAAUAAAUCACCCACCUGGAGAUCCUUUUGCAGAGUGAGUUUGGAGGUAUCAGAAACAAAAUAUUUUCAGAGUUACAUAAAGUUGAAAAAUUAUGUGUUUCACCCUUGAUUUCUCCUCAAAGGGACAGAUACUUUGUUGUGUCAUAACCUCCGAAUUCCACAUUAGCAGAAAGAUGCCUUUGCCACUCCAAACAACACAUGGGCUGUUCCACAGAAGUUAUGCAAAAAGGCUUGGAGACGUCACUGGAUACAGUGGGUUUCACUGGCUGAGUCUUCAGAGUGGACUUGAACGAAAUAUGCAAAAACAUGUCAAAAGUUAAGUGGUGAAAAUCAGCUUAAAUGCCUAAUUUUAAUUUUGUUUGUGCUCUUUGUUGUUUCGUUGGGGGGGGAGGGAAGGAGCUGUCUUUUUCUCCCUGUCCUUUCAUUUUUUUGGGGGAGAAAAUGGAUGUUGGUGAAAAGAAGAGAGCUCUGGCAGGGACUGGGAAGAGGUUGUUUAUUCUGCUUUGUUUUCUUUAGAAAGGGGUAACUCUCCUAAAACUCGUGAUGAUCCAGUUAAAGGGAGAUUGGGGGAGCCGAAGAGAAAAGAAAACUAAAAAUCAGCCUCUAAAGGACAAGUUUUCUCUUGAACAAAAGAGCAACAGGAGGCAGUGCAGGCAGGGGGUCGGUGCCCAGGGGUAACGUUGCCAAAACAAUGGCUGGAGAAUGUGUGUAGCUUUUGCCACUCCAGAAGCUGCUGCCCCAGUGCCUUCACUGAUGGACUGGAAGGAUCAAACCUGAUCCAGCGCUGGUCGGUGUGUGGUGCCACUUCUGGAGUGCUCCAGAGAAGAGGCAAUGAUUGACUGUGGGUAACACAAGCAAGAAUAGAAGGACUGCUGAGGAAUCCCCCCCAGUUCUGAAUGACAGGUACGAUUGAACAGCCCCAGCCAAUACAGCAGAGCCCCUGCCAGCAAAGGGGCUAAAGGUGGGGUUUAAAGUGGCUUCAAUUAAAGAUGGAGACUGCUUGGCAAUGUCUGUGCUUCUCUUGCAUUUGGUUAACUGUCUGCUGGAUAAACUGAAGCGAGAUUUUAAACUAUUACGAAUGUUCACACAGAAGUUCAUUCUGGUUUAGACUAAAUUGGUUUUAAUUUAAAUUCAUGUAACUUCUGUGUGGAUGAGGCCCAUGGCUUGCCAUUUUGCAGCAAUGGUGAAUUUAUAGCAUAUGUGCUCCAAAUGGACUAUCAUGCAAAUUCUCUUGGUAUUUGCUCCAAGUCCGGUUCCAGCUGUCGGUGGAGAUGGAGGAGCAGAAUAGGCGGCUCACAUGGCCUCCCAUGUAAUGCAGAUUGGAUCUAUUGUCAGUCAGAUGGACUGGUGGUGUGGGAGCAGUGUGAAGCCAGUUCUUUCACUACAUGGUGUGUAAAGCAAUGAGGCAGACAAAAGCUGGAUUUAAAUUAGGGAAUAUUUCUGCCAAAUUUCAUUCUCCGAAGCAGAGAAAUAAAACAUUUAAUGUGUCUGGCAACGUUUAUUCUGUGUACAAUGUUCUAGCUGAUCAUAAAAGGAAAGCUAUAUCUGAACAUUACCUAGAAACUUCAUCAUAUUCUGAGGAGAUGAGAGAGCAUGAUUCCAUCAUGAUCUGAAAAAGUGUUAGAUCUGAGAAAGUGGAUGCAGUUUGACAAGAAAUCAAGAUGACAAGAGAAAAAGGAAAAAAAAGUUUCUUUUCCAUUAGGUAGGAAUUACCAGUUACAAUCACAGCAGAAUCUUAUCUGCCACACAGGCUCCAUUUUUAAAGUCCUUGGUGUCCUCAAUGUCCUGCUCCAUGGCCAGAGGCUUCCCACUUUGACUUUUGCUGUGUGUUCAAAGGGAAGCAAGAUCGGAAUGGUUGGAAAAUGUAUGUGUUGCUCAUGCAGUAACUGCAUGUGCAUGAAAAUAAAAGAAUUUCUUGACUGUGCACAGUGGGUAUCUAUGCUGAUAAGUAGGCAAUAACUCUCAUUACAUGUAUAUUGGCCCAUUGAAAAUUUGGCCCUGAAUUCUACUGGUGAAGUUCAGCAUGUAUUUUCCAUGACUUUUCCACUGUAUCUUCUUAGAGUUUUUGUUGAAUCAUCCAUUACCUUGACAGAAAUAGAAGACAGUGUUAAAAAUAAUCCAAAGAAAAAAUUCGAGACCAUUUUUAAUUCUAAAUGAUUCAUAGAGCAAGUAUCAGCUAAUGUGAAUGAAAACAUAGUUGUACAAUCCAAGUAAGAGAAUGUCAAGAAUAACAACUUUGUAACUAGAUUUGGAAAAAUAAACAAUGCUUUCCUUUUUUUUGCAUAAUAAAUAUGAUGUGGGUAGUUAAAAAUAUAAUUUUAAAAAUGC
Molecule: long non-coding RNA, 3678 nt
Organism: Pseudopipra pipra
Lineage: Eukaryota; Metazoa; Chordata; Aves; Passeriformes; Pipridae
Exons: 3
Source: RefSeq, a predicted model, not a curated record